GAAAGAUUAAUUGCAGAAACACUGUGUCCUGUCUACAACUGUGCUGACAGCCUGAAACUGAGCAGUUGUGCUACUGAAUCACACUGAAAGUGUUUCUGGCAACUUACCCUUUCUUUCUGUGCUUCUCCCAAGUUCAGAUCUAAAAGAUGAAUGAAGAAAUACUAUAGCAUGAACUAAAUAAUGUGAAUAUGCGUUUGUGUUACCGGGAAGUGGUCCAUUUCUUCUUAACUCAUUGUUCGGAAACUAAAAAUGAGCAGCUCCAACUUUGACAUUUUUAUCACCCCAGUGGAAUGCCUGGUUUUCAUUUGCAAAGCACACCUCACUUUUACAAGUGAAGCAUCAUGGACUAAGUAGAACAUGCGAAUCUAACAACCAGCCUCCUUUAUUGUUUUGACUCCGUAUUUCCAUAGACC
This 413-nucleotide long non-coding RNA is filed under the name Homo sapiens (human). Its description in RNAcentral is "HSALNT0056470". Lineage: Eukaryota; Metazoa; Chordata; Mammalia; Primates; Hominidae. The record is from RNAcentral.